RNAcentral lists this unclassified non-coding RNA (21 nucleotides) under Mus musculus (house mouse). RNAcentral describes it as "oocyte_clustered_small_RNA8916". The record is from RNAcentral. Lineage: Eukaryota; Metazoa; Chordata; Mammalia; Rodentia; Muridae.
UCAUCCAUUGCUAGCUUCAAG